Molecule: ribosomal RNA, 275 nt
Filed under: uncultured bacterium
Lineage: Bacteria
Description: partial 16S ribosomal RNA
Rfam family: Bacterial small subunit ribosomal RNA
Source: RNAcentral
AACGAACGCUGGCGGCAGGCCUAAACAUGCAAGUCGAGCGGGCAUAGCAAUAUGUCAGCGGCGGACGGGUGAAUAACACGUGGGAACAUGCCCUUUGGUACGGAACAACUCAGGGAAACUUGAGCUAAUACCGUAUGUGCCGGUAACGGAAGAUUUAUCGCCAAAGGAUUGGCCCGCGUCCGAUUAGCUAGUUGGUGAGGUAAUGGCUCACCAAGGCUCCGAUCGGUAGCGGUUUGAGAGAACGAUCAGCCACACUGGGACUGAGACACGGCCCA